CUACGUGCCAGCAGCCGCGGUAAUACGGAAGGUCCAGGCGUUAUCCGGAUUUAUUGGGUUUAAAGGGAGCGUAGGCGGACGAUUAAGUCAGCUGUGAAAGUUUGCGGCUCAACCGUAAAAUUGCAGUUGAAACUGGUUGUCUUGAGUGCACGCAGGGAUGUUGGAAUUCAUGGUGUAGCGGUGAAAUGCUUAGAUAUCAUGAAGAACUCCGAUCGCGAAGGCAUAUGUCUGGAGUGCAACUGACGCUGAGGCUCGAAAGUGCGGGUAUCGAACAGGAUUAGAUACCCUGGUAGUCCGCACAGUAAACGAUGAAUACUCGCAGUGUGCGAUAUACUGUAUGCUGCCAAGUGAAAACGUUAAGUAUUCCACCUGGGGAGUACGCCGGCAACGGUGAAACUCAAAGGAAUUGACGGGGGCCCGCACAAGCGGAGGAACAUGUGGUUUAAUUCGAUGAUACGCGAGGAACCUUACCCGGGCU
Molecule: ribosomal RNA, 478 nt
Filed under: uncultured bacterium
Lineage: Bacteria
Description: bacterial SSU rRNA
Rfam family: Bacterial small subunit ribosomal RNA
Source: RNAcentral